GAACAGACGAGGAGCUUGCUCCUCUGACGUUAGCGGCGGACGGGUGAGUAACACGUGGGUAACCUACCUAUAAGACUGGGAUAACUCCGGGAAACCGGGGCUAAUACCGGAUAACACAUGAAACCGCAUGGUUUCAUGAUGAAAGACGGUUUUGCUGUCACUUAUAGAUGGACCCGCGGCGUAUUAGCUAGUUGGUAAGGUAACGGCUUACCAAGGCAACGAUACGUAGCCGACCUGAGAGGGUGAUCGGCCACACUGGAACUGAGACACGGUCCAGACUCCUACGGGAGGCAGCAGUAGGGAAUCUUCCGCAAUGGGCGAAAGCCUGACGGAGCAACGCCGCGUGAGUGAUGAAGGUCUUCGGAUCGUAAAACUCUGUUAUUAGGGAAGAACAAGGAUGUAAGUAACUAUGCAUCCCUUGACGGUACCUAAUCAGAAAGCCACGGCUAACUACGUGCCAGCAGCCGCGGUAAUACGUAGGUGGCAAGCGUUAUCCGGAAUUAUUGGGCGUAAAGCGCGCGUAGGCGGUUUUUUAAGUCUGAUGUGAAAGCCCACGGCUCAACCGUGGAGGGUCAUUGGAAACUGGAAAACUUGAGUGCAGAAGAGGAAAGUGGAAUUCCAUGUGUAGCGGUGAAAUGCGCAGAGAUAUGGAGGAACACCAGUGGCGAAGGCGACUUUCUGGUCUGCAACUGACGCUGAUGUGCGAAAGCGUGGGGAUCAAACAGGAUUA
RNAcentral lists this ribosomal RNA (730 nucleotides) under uncultured Staphylococcus sp. RNAcentral describes it as "bacterial SSU rRNA". It matches the Rfam family "Bacterial small subunit ribosomal RNA", at positions 68 to 780 of the family's 1533-position model. Lineage: Bacteria; Bacillati; Bacillota; Bacilli; Caryophanales; Staphylococcaceae. The record is from RNAcentral.